Molecule: ribosomal RNA, 128 nt
Filed under: Lactobacillus sp. chh01
Lineage: Bacteria; Bacillati; Bacillota; Bacilli; Lactobacillales; Lactobacillaceae
Description: partial 16S ribosomal RNA
Rfam family: Bacterial small subunit ribosomal RNA
Source: RNAcentral
UAUUUAUAUGAGAGUUUGAUCCUGGCUCAGGAUGAACGCUGGCGGCGUGCCUAAUACAUGCAAGUCGAACGAGUUUUGGUCGAUGAACGGUGCUUGCACUGUGAUUCGACUUAAAACGAGUGGCGGAC